RNAcentral lists this ribosomal RNA (1150 nucleotides) under Levilactobacillus brevis. Its description in RNAcentral is "bacterial SSU rRNA". It matches the Rfam family "Bacterial small subunit ribosomal RNA", at positions 114 to 1246 of the family's 1533-position model. The record is from RNAcentral. Lineage: Bacteria; Bacillati; Bacillota; Bacilli; Lactobacillales; Lactobacillaceae.
CACGUGGGAAAUCUGCCCAGAAGCAGGGGAUAACACUUGGAAACAGGUGCUAAUACCGUAUAACAAUAAAAUCCGCAUGGAUUUUGUUUGAAAGGUGGCUUCGGCUAUCACUUCUGGAUGAUCCCGCGGCGUAUUAGUUAGUUGGUGAGGUAAAGGCCCACCAAGACGAUGAUACGUAGCCGACCUGAGAGGGUAAUCGGCCACAUUGGGACUGAGACACGGCCCAAACUCCUACGGGAGGCAGCAGUAGGGAAUCUUCCACAAUGGACGAAAGUCUGAUGGAGCAAUGCCGCGUGAGUGAAGAAGGGUUUCGGCUCGUAAAACUCUGUUGUUAAAGAAGAACACCUUUGAGAGUAACUGUUCAAGGGUUGACGGUAUUUAACCAGAAAGCCACGGCUAACUACGUGCCAGCAGCCGCGGUAAUACGUAGGUGGCAAGCGUUGUCCGGAUUUAUUGGGCGUAAAGCGAGCGCAGGCGGUUUUUUAAGUCUGAUGUGAAAGCCUUCGGCUUAACCGGAGAAGUGCAUCGGAAACUGGGAGACUUGAGUGCAGAAGAGGACAGUGGAACUCCAUGUGUAGCGGUGGAAUGCGUAGAUAUAUGGAAGAACACCAGUGGCGAAGGCGGCUGUCUAGUCUGUAACUGACGCUGAGGCUCGAAAGCAUGGGUAGCGAACAGGAUUAGAUACCCUGGUAGUCCAUGCCGUAAACGAUGAGUGCUAAGUGUUGGAAGGGUUUCCGCCCUUCAGUGCUGCAGCUAACGCAUUAAGCACUCCGCCUGGGGAGUACGACCGCAAGGUUGAAACUCAAAGGAAUUGACGGGGGCCCGCACAAGCGGUGGAGCAUGUGGUUUAAUUCGAAGCUACGCGAAGAACCUUACCAGGUCUUGACAUCUUCUGCCAAUCUUAGAGAUAAGACGUUCCCUUCGGGGACAGAAUGACAGGUGGUGCAUGGUUGUCGUCAGCUCGUGUCGUGAAAUGUUUGGGUUAAGUCCCGCAACGAGCGCAACCCUUAUUAUCAGUUGCCAGCAUUCAGUUGGGCACUCUGGUGAGACUGCCGGUGACAACCCGAAGAAAGGGUGGGGGAUAACGUCAAAUCAUCAUGGCCCCUUAUAACCUGGGGUACACACCUGCUUACAUUGAAGGUCCAACCAA